GCCCUUGUAGCCCAACUGGGAGAGGCACCGGAUUCAGGAUCCGGCCAGUCCAGGUUCGACUCCUGGCAAGGGCA
This 74-nucleotide transfer RNA is filed under the name Amycolatopsis xylanica. It matches the Rfam family "tRNA". Rfam says of the family: Transfer RNA (tRNA) molecules are approximately 80 nucleotides in length. Their secondary structure includes four short double-helical elements and three loops (D, anti-codon, and T loops). Lineage: Bacteria; Bacillati; Actinomycetota; Actinomycetes; Pseudonocardiales; Pseudonocardiaceae. The record is from Rfam by way of RNAcentral.